GAUAUAAUAUAAAUUUCCUUCAAUAUCCUACCUUCCUAAAUUAUUUUCAUCUAUAAAAGUGAUUCACCCCUUCGUGCAAAGUAUGUUUAUUUUUCUUGUCAAUCAUUAAUAUUAAAUUUAAUUAUUUCGCUCCCCCUAUAGAGAGAGAUACUCCUGCGGCAUGACCAUGAUGAUCAUUUAUAAUCAUAGCGUUAAGUAGGUAUUAUGGAACAAAGU
Non-coding RNA from Cinara cedri, 216 nucleotides. The record is from the annotation of a GenBank genome assembly. NCBI's taxonomy places the organism in Eukaryota, Metazoa, Arthropoda, Insecta, Hemiptera, Aphididae.